Molecule: non-coding RNA, 496 nt
Filed under: Brachypodium distachyon (stiff brome)
Lineage: Eukaryota; Viridiplantae; Streptophyta; Magnoliopsida; Poales; Poaceae
Description: Bacterial small subunit ribosomal RNA
Rfam family: Bacterial small subunit ribosomal RNA
Source: Rfam by way of RNAcentral
GGGGAGUACGUUUGCAAUGAAACUCGAAAGAAUUGACGGGGGCCCGCACAAGCGGUGGAGCAUGCGGUUUAAUUCGAUGCAAAGUGAAGAACCUUACCAGGACAUGACAUGCCGCGAAUCCUCUUGAAAGAGAGGGGUGCCCUCGGGAACGCGGACACAGAUGGUGCAUGCCUGUCGUCAGCUCAUGCCGUAAGGUGUUGGAUUAAGUCUCGCAACGAACCCAACCCUCGUGUUUAGUUGCCAAGUUUGGAACCCUCAGCUCAGGCUUCCUAUUUACUGGGCGUUCAGGCAGAAAGCAAACACGUCGAGGUAUGGCUUCCGGCGACGCACAGGCCAUGCGGAUUGGUCUCAGGUGUUCGAAGCGGCAUGUCGAAGCUCCACAGCAAAUUCUUCCAUCACCAUCCGAACCUAAGUAGCAUGGGCUGCAUUUUUCUGCCAGGGGCGUUUAAUUUCCCUUUUCUCUGCCAACAGCAAUUCAGUUCACGGGCUGUUUUCU